Pyrus x bretschneideri (Chinese white pear) is the source of this 1424-nucleotide RNA transcript. It is a transcript of the gene named probable prolyl 4-hydroxylase 3, with no coding region annotated. The transcript has 9 exons. The record is from RefSeq and is a predicted model, not a curated record. NCBI's taxonomy places the organism in Eukaryota, Viridiplantae, Streptophyta, Magnoliopsida, Rosales, Rosaceae.
AAUGACAUAAUCAUUUGCUUGGCGUUCAGACCAUCUCCCUCACUGAGAUUCUGAAAGCUUCCGUGUCCCCGAGUGGCGAGUUCUCAGGGAACUCAGAAUUUAAGCACUCAGCGAUUGCUUUUGCAUGAGAAUUAGGGUUUUUGCAUCCAGAUCAGAGGUCUAGGGUUUCGGAGCUCGUUCAAAAAUGGCGAAGGGGAGGUACGGUCGGUUGCAGAGCAAGAAAUGGUCGACGUUCAUGCUCGUCUUGUCGAUGCUGCUCAUGCUAUCGGUGGUGCUUCUCAUGCUUCUCGCUUUCGGAAUCGUUUCGCUUCCGGUCAGCACCGACGACUCUUCACCUAACGAUCUCAGCUCUUUUAGGCGGAAAACCUUCGAGAGAGGUGAUGGAUUGGGGAAUAGAGUAGAGCAGUGGACGGAAGUGAUUUCUUGGGAGCCCAGAGCCUUCAUAUAUCAUAAUUUCUUGUCCAAGGAAGAAUGUGACUACUUGAUAAACCUUGCUAAACCUCAUAUGGUAAAGUCAUCGGUUGUUGAUAGCAAGACUGGGAAAAGCAAAGAUAGUAGGGUGCGCACAAGCUCCGGAAUGUUUCUGAAGAGAGGACGCGAUAAGAUAAUUAGGGAUAUCGAGAAGAGAAUAGCAGACUUCACUUUCAUUCCUGUAGAGCAUGGAGAAGGACUUCAGAUUCUCCACUAUGAAGUUGGGCAGAAAUACGAUGCACAUUUUGAUUACUUCCUAGAUGAGUUCAACACCAAGAAUGGUGGCCAACGGGUUGCUACUCUUUUGAUGUAUCUGUCAGAUGUUGAGGAAGGCGGUGAGACGGUGUUUCCUGCUGCAAAGGGGAAUAUCAGCUCUGUGCCAUGGUGGAAUGAAUUAUCUGAAUGUGGUAAACAGGGACUUGCAGUGAAACCUAAAAUGGGUGAUGCACUACUAUUCUGGAGCAUGAGGCCCGAUGCAACUCUAGACCCGUCAAGUUUGCAUGGUGGAUGCCCUGUGAUAAUUGGUAACAAGUGGUCGUCUACAAAAUGGAUGCAUCUUGAAGAGUACAAAGUCUAAGUCGUUUUAUGUAAAGGAUUUUGCUAGAUGUCCUGUAACUGGUGGUUAGCCUCGGGUUUAUGUGAUGAUUUACAUCCGUAUUCUAGCCCUUAAAAAACCAGAUGGUGCCUUGAGCAGGAUAUGAAGAGAGUUAAGCUGUGCAGGUCGUCUAUGGAAGUUAGCAGAUUUAGGAUCCCUGACAAAUGAAAGCAGCCAUCCAAUUCUAACCGAGUGCGUAUGGUAUGGUCUGAACCACCAUUCACUUGAUUUUCUGGUCUCUCAGCAAUUUAUACCUUGAGAUAACAGUGAAGUUAUACCAAAAAACAUAUUUUUAUCGAGAGGAACGAUGUAAUUACAAAUUUGUUUUAACCUUUAUAAUGUUGUCACAUUUUCUCAA